UACAGAGGUCUCAAGCGUUGUUCGGAUUCAUUGGGCGUAAAGGGUGCGUAGGUGGCGGGGUAAGUCAGGUGUGAAAUUUCGGAGCUCAACUCCGAAACUGCAUUUGAUACUGCCUUGCUUGAGGACUGGAGAGGAGACUGGAAUUCACGGUGUAGCAGUGAAAUGCGUAGAUAUCGUGAGGAAGAUCAGUGGCGAAGGCGGGUCUCUGGACAGUUCCUGACACUGAGGCACGAAGGCCAGGGGAGCAAACGGG
This 253-nucleotide ribosomal RNA is filed under the name uncultured bacterium. RNAcentral describes it as "partial 16S ribosomal RNA". It matches the Rfam family "Bacterial small subunit ribosomal RNA", at positions 524 to 776 of the family's 1533-position model. The record is from RNAcentral.